This 277-nucleotide long non-coding RNA is filed under the name Carica papaya (papaya). Its description in RNAcentral is "long non-coding RNA (CPAP_LNC006399)". Lineage: Eukaryota; Viridiplantae; Streptophyta; Magnoliopsida; Brassicales; Caricaceae. The record is from RNAcentral.
GGAAGUAAUUGUUCACCUUCAUACCGGAUAGGGUAUUGCGACGGUGAUACAUUUGGCAUCCAUUAUUGGACGGGAUAUGAGAACGACUGAUUAACUAAUAAAUUGAAUAUUGGGUCUACGUGUAGGGAGAACCCCUAUGAACCGUCAAAGGUAACGGUAAACAGGUAAGAAAGAAAAGUUUGACUAUUAUUGUUCUUUAAAAUGUAUAAUAAAUUGCUAUAUUAAUUAUUGCCUUCACAAGUCAAAUUUGAAAACUUAAAAAGUUAGAAUAAAACUU